RNAcentral lists this ribosomal RNA (397 nucleotides) under uncultured bacterium. RNAcentral's name for it is "partial 16S ribosomal RNA". It matches the Rfam family "Bacterial small subunit ribosomal RNA", at positions 523 to 918 of the family's 1533-position model. The record is from RNAcentral.
AUACGUAGGUGACAAGCGUUAUCCGGAUUUACUGGGCGUAAAGGGCGUGUAGGCGGUCUUGCAAGUUAGAAGUGAAAUUCCUGAGCUCAACUCGGGCGCUGCUUCUGAAACUGCAGGACUUGAGUGCUGGAGGGGAUAGCGGAAUUCCUAGUGGAGCGGUAAAAUGCGCAGAUAUUAGGAAGAACACCGGUGGCGAAGGCGGCUAUCUGGACAGAAACCGACGCUGAGGCGAGAAAGCGUGGGGAGCAAACAAGAUUAGAUUCCCUGGGAAUCCACGCCGUAAACGAUGAAAACUAGGUGUAGGGGGUAUCGACUCCCUCUGUGCCGCAGUUAACACAAUAAGUAUUCCGCCCGGGGAGUGCGGCCGCAAGGUUGAAACUCAAAUGAAUUGGCGGGG